AUUGAACGCUGGCGGCAGGCCUAACACAUGCAAGUCGAGCGGGGGUAGCAAUACCCUAGCGGCGAACGGGUGAGGAAUGCUUGGGAAUCUGCCUCGUAGUGGGGGAUAACGUUCCGAAAGGAACGCUAAUACCGCAUACGUCCUACGGGAGAAAGGGGGGAGUCUUCGGACCUCUCGCUAUGAGAUGAGCCCAAGCGGGAUUAGCUAGUUGGUGAGGUAAAGGCUCACCAAGGCUACGAUCCCUAGCUGGUCUGAGAGGAUGAUCAGCCACACUGGAACUGAGACACGGUCCAGACUCCUACGGGAGGCAGCAGUGGGGAAUAUUGGACAAUGGGCGAAAGCCUGAUCCAGCCAUGCCGCGUGUGCGAAGAAGGCC
This 376-nucleotide ribosomal RNA is filed under the name uncultured bacterium. Its description in RNAcentral is "bacterial SSU rRNA". It matches the Rfam family "Bacterial small subunit ribosomal RNA", at positions 30 to 416 of the family's 1533-position model. The record is from RNAcentral.